AAAUUGAAGAGUUUGAUCAUGGCUCAGAUUGAACGCUGGCGGCAGGCCUAACACAUGCAAGUCGAACGGUAACAGGAAGCAGCUUGCUGUUUUGCUGACGAGUGGCGGACGGGUGAGUAAUGUCUAGGAAACUGCCCGAUGGGGGGGGAUAACUACUGGAAACGGUAGCUAAUACCGCAUAACGGCGCAA
This 190-nucleotide ribosomal RNA is filed under the name Escherichia coli. RNAcentral describes it as "partial 16S ribosomal RNA". It matches the Rfam family "Bacterial small subunit ribosomal RNA", at positions 1 to 184 of the family's 1533-position model. The record is from RNAcentral. Lineage: Bacteria; Pseudomonadati; Pseudomonadota; Gammaproteobacteria; Enterobacterales; Enterobacteriaceae.